CGCGCAGGCGGUUUGGUAAGUCAGAUGUGAAAGCCCACGGCUUAACUGUGGAAGUGCAUUUGAAACUGUCAGACUUGAGUACCAGAGGGGAAAGUGGAAUUCCCGGUGUAGAGGUGAAAUUCGUAGAUAUCGGGAGGAAUACCGGUGGCGAGGGCGACUUUCUGGCUGGAUACUGACGCUGAGGCGCGAAAGCGUGGGGAGCAAACA
Molecule: ribosomal RNA, 207 nt
Filed under: uncultured Desulfobulbus sp.
Lineage: Bacteria; Pseudomonadati; Thermodesulfobacteriota; Desulfobulbia; Desulfobulbales; Desulfobulbaceae
Description: partial 16S ribosomal RNA
Rfam family: Bacterial small subunit ribosomal RNA
Source: RNAcentral